GCUAUCAGUACACUACCAGACGUCGAACGCUAAGCAAAUCUCUUAAAUAAAAAUCCAAGUGUGAAAAAAUGAAGUUUUACGUAUUUUUCUUUCUGCUCGUCGUUGUCACCUUAUGUGCUGCCGAUCUCAUUCCUAACCUCCUACCGGAGAAAUGUAAUAGCUUCCAAAGCGCUCUCUGCUCCGUCAAAUGUUUGUCAGAUAAUCAUUUGUGUUUAAAAUCUGACGCAAGCUUAGGCUACACAUGCACAUGUUUUUAAAGAUAAAACAGCUGAACCGAUGAAUCGGCUUUUCACUCAACACUGGAUCAUCAUUAUAUUAUCAACAAAAAAGUACAAGAAACAGCAUUUUAAAUAUAACCGUUUUACAUAAUUUGGAGCGAGGUCAAUAUUUCAAACGAUGGCACUUGAAUUGUGUAUAACUCGACAAAUUUUAUAUCAAGAAUCAUAUAUUUCUAUAUGUAAUAUUACCGUUACUUUUGGAUUAUUUUGACGAAAAUAUUUAUGAAAAUAUUCAAUAAAAAAUAUCUAAUAAUUAA
Long non-coding RNA from Phymastichus coffea, 535 nucleotides. RefSeq lists it as uncharacterized. Lineage: Eukaryota; Metazoa; Arthropoda; Insecta; Hymenoptera; Eulophidae. The transcript has 2 exons. The record is from RefSeq and is a predicted model, not a curated record.